AGAUCAAUCACCUAAAACAAAGGAGGAAUACAAUUAUAUGGAUAAGGUUCCUUAUGCUUCAGCUAUCGGUUCUCUAAUGUAUGCUAUAAUUUGCACAAGGCAAGACAUCGCCCAUACAGUGGGAGCUGUAAGUAGAUACAUGAGUAACCCAGGAAGACAACAUUGGGAGGCUGUGAAAUGGAUUUCUAGGUACCUAAAAGGCUCCAUAAAAGCAUGUCUAUGUUUCACCGGAGAAAGUCUAUAGUUAAAGGAGUUUGUUAAUGUUGAUUUGGCCGGAGAUGUUGAUAGUAGAAAGAGCACCACUGGUUUUGUUUACACUUUGGGAGGUACUGCCGUAUCAUGGGGUUCCAACCUGCAGAAGACAAUGUCUUUAUCUACUACAAAAGCAGAGUAUGUUGCGGUGUCAAAGCUUCAAAGAAGAUGAUUUGGCUACAAAACUUCUUGGAGGACUCGACAAAAAGAAUUAGAAGGAUACUUUUUAUAGCGAUAGUCAAAGUGCCAUAUUCCUUGCCAAGAAUCCAGCAUUUCAUUCCAAGAUAAAGCACAUUCAGAUCAUGUAUCAUUUCAUUCGAUCCUUACUUUACAAUGGACAGUUGAUACUUGAAAAGAUUUGUGAAAGCAAGAACCCUGCUGAUAUAUUGACAAAGGGUGUUACACUAGAGAAACUGAAGUUAUGUACAACUUGAGUUGGUCUUCUGGUCUGAAGGCAAAGGCCACAAGUUGCAGAGGAGGAGGAUGUUCUUUUCUGAGGCAGAUGGUGAUGCAUUGGUUGAUCUAGUCUCCAAGUGGGAGAAUUUUUGGGCCUUUUUGCUGAGUGUUGGGCCUUUUUCUGUGGAGCCUAGAUCAUGUCUACCCAAGUCCAAGUCCAAGAAUAUUAGGGCUUCUGUCUUUUACAUGUUGCUAUAUAUGUAUUCUUUUAUUUCUUUCUUUUUUUUUUUUGGCUGUGUGGCUGUAUAUAUAUAUCUGUGAGCACGUCAAAAGGCUGUGUAUGUGUGUAUAAUUUCUCAGGCAAUAAAAUCCUCUACAGUUUGUGAA
Molecule: long non-coding RNA, 1035 nt
Filed under: Olea europaea subsp. europaea
Lineage: Eukaryota; Viridiplantae; Streptophyta; Magnoliopsida; Lamiales; Oleaceae
Source: RNAcentral